RNAcentral lists this ribosomal RNA (292 nucleotides) under uncultured eukaryote. RNAcentral's name for it is "partial 18S ribosomal RNA". It matches the Rfam family "Eukaryotic small subunit ribosomal RNA", at positions 6 to 303 of the family's 1831-position model. The record is from RNAcentral.
GGUUGAUCCUGCCAGUAGUCAUAUGCUUGUCUUAAAGACUAAGCCAUGCAUGUCUAAGUAUAAGUAUUAUACAGCGAAACUGCGAAUGGCUCAUUAAAACAGUUAUAGUUUAUUCGAUUAUUUGCCCCCUACAUGGAUAACCGUAGUAAUUCUAGAGCUAAUACAUGCUGUCAAACCUGACUUUUGCGGAAGGGUUGUAUUUAUUAGAUAUAAACCAAUAUCCCUCACGGGAUGUUGUGAUGAUUCAUAAUAACUGAGCGGAUCGCGGCCUCGCCGCGACGAAUCGUUCAAG